AAGACUAUAGACCUGCGGAGUACCUGCGGAAGGAUCAUUAAUGAAUUGUCCACUAUCAUGGAUAAUUUUAUCCAUAUCCACCUUGUGUGCAUCAUAGAAGUGUUUGUUGGCAGGUUAAGGCUCUUCUCUCGAAGGUCCUAUGGGGUUUGGCACUGGCAUUUUCGCCAGCGCUUGUGCUCGGCCUGCCAAUUUUUAUUAUGUUUAAAACUUGUCUAAAUAAGCAUUGGUCUGAAAUAUAAA
Molecule: unclassified non-coding RNA, 240 nt
Filed under: soil metagenome
Description: partial contains 5.8S ribosomal RNA, internal transcribed spacer 2, and large subunit ribosomal RNA
Source: RNAcentral